RNAcentral lists this ribosomal RNA (490 nucleotides) under uncultured bacterium. Its description in RNAcentral is "partial 16S ribosomal RNA". It matches the Rfam family "Bacterial small subunit ribosomal RNA", at positions 32 to 507 of the family's 1533-position model. The record is from RNAcentral.
AUUCAACGCUGGCGGCAUGCUUUACACAUGCAAGUCGGACGGCAGCACAGAGAAGCUUGCUUCUUGGGUGGCGCGUGGCGAACGGGUGAGUAACAUAUCGGAACGUACCGAGCAGUGGGGGAUAACUAAUCGAAAGAUUAGCUAAUACCGCAUAUCUUCUGAGGAAGAAAGCAGGGGACCAUUUGGCCUUGCGCUGUUUGAGCGGCCGAUAUCUGAUUAGCUAGUUGGUGGGGUAAAGGCCUACCAAGGCGACGAUCAGUAGCGGGUCUGAGAGGAGGAUCGGCCACACUGGGACUGAGACACGGCCCAGACUCCUACGGGAGGCAGCAGUGGGGAAUUUUGGACAAUGGGCGCAAGCCUGAUCCAGCCAUGCCGCGUGUCUGAAGAAGGCCUUCGGGUUGUAAAGGACUUUUGUCAGGGAAGAAAAGGGCGGGGUUAAUACCCCUGUCUGAUGACGGUACCUGAAGAAUAAGCACCGGCUAACUACGUG